UAGAGUGCGCAUCUUACAUAUUUCAGCGAAAAGUUACUUGUUUACCUUUUAAAUAAAUUAAGGAAAACUAAAGUAAGUAUGAGUAAACAUU
Long non-coding RNA from Maniola jurtina (meadow brown), 91 nucleotides. RefSeq lists it as uncharacterized. Lineage: Eukaryota; Metazoa; Arthropoda; Insecta; Lepidoptera; Nymphalidae. The transcript is spliced from 3 exons. The record is from RefSeq and is a predicted model, not a curated record.